This 276-nucleotide long non-coding RNA is filed under the name Camelus dromedarius (Arabian camel). RNAcentral's name for it is "lncRNA (ENSCDRG00005011091.1)". The record is from RNAcentral. Lineage: Eukaryota; Metazoa; Chordata; Mammalia; Artiodactyla; Camelidae.
GGCCAAGAGAUGUGUCUGCAGAUCAGAAAAAGGCAAGGGGAAAUGAUUGGGAAGAGGACAGACCUCAGAGCAAUCCAUAAAGAACUCAUGGAAAUGUGCUACAAACCAGAUGUGGAGCUGCUCCAGGAAUUAGGAGACAAACUGAAAUGUGAGCAUUUCAUUCAGCAGCGAGGUCAGCAGUCGGCACAUGAGGCCGCUGGACGAAGCGCGGAGGCUGAGGUACCGGCUCGCCGGCCUGGCCGGGCCUUCGGCCGCCGGGGCGCCGCGGUGCGUCGC